GGGUCGCUCUGUUCAGUGACACAUGCAAAAAAGCGAACGAACGAGAGCCAGCUGGCAGGAGAGAUUGUUAAAGCCGAAGAGACGCAGACGCUUAUUAGAUCC
Non-coding RNA from Caenorhabditis elegans, 102 nucleotides. Lineage: Eukaryota; Metazoa; Nematoda; Chromadorea; Rhabditida; Rhabditidae. The record is from Ensembl.